AACGAACGCUGGCGGCAGGCCUAACACAUGCAAGUCGAGCGAACCCUUCGGGGUUAGCGGCGGACGGGUUAGUAACGCGUGGGAAUAUACCCUUUGGUACGGAAUAGCCUCGGGAAACUGAGAGUAAUACCGUAUGUGCCCUUCGGGGAAAGAUUUAUCGCCAAAGGAUUAGCCCGCGUUGGAUUAGAUAGUUGGUGGGGUAAUGGCCUACCAAGUCUACGAUCCAUAGCUGGUUUGAGAGGAUGAUCAGCAACACUGGGACUGAGACACGGCCCAGACUCCUACGGGAGGCAGCAGUGGGGAAUCUUAGACAAUGGGCGCAAGCCUGAUCUAGCCAUGCCGCGUGGACGAUGAAGGCCUUAGGGUUGUAAAGUCCUUUUCAGAUGGGAAGAUAAUGACGGUACCAUCAGAAGAAGCCCCGGCUAACUCCGUG
This 433-nucleotide ribosomal RNA is filed under the name uncultured bacterium. Its description in RNAcentral is "bacterial SSU rRNA". It matches the Rfam family "Bacterial small subunit ribosomal RNA", at positions 29 to 507 of the family's 1533-position model. The record is from RNAcentral.